CAAUUUAAAGCUUAUCUAGUAAAGUAUUUCAUUUACAUUGAAAUGAUAAUUGUGCAAAUCAAUUUAAAUUGA
Molecule: transfer RNA, 72 nt
Filed under: Simulium angustipes
Lineage: Eukaryota; Metazoa; Arthropoda; Insecta; Diptera; Simuliidae
Description: tRNA-Val
Rfam family: tRNA
About the family: Transfer RNA (tRNA) molecules are approximately 80 nucleotides in length.
Source: RNAcentral